Long non-coding RNA from Lagopus leucura (white-tailed ptarmigan), 387 nucleotides. RefSeq lists it as uncharacterized. The transcript is spliced from 3 exons. NCBI's taxonomy places the organism in Eukaryota, Metazoa, Chordata, Aves, Galliformes, Phasianidae. The record is from RefSeq and is a predicted model, not a curated record.
AAUACUGUAAACUAUGGCAGCGUGUAGAAUCGCAUGGCCUAACAGGAGUUAUGUGCCAAUAAAUACCAGUUUGUGGACCUCAGUGGAAGUAUGCCAAAAUAGGAUCAGAGAGAUAGGCAUGAAGGAGGCCAUUUAUGGUGACCCAUUGAAGAUUCCAGAUAUGCUUAAGUUUCUGGUGGGAAUUAUGGACCUCAUGCUACAAUAAGACCCUUGCUACCAGUGAUGUAAUAGAAAAAAAGUGAGGAAUUCAAGGUCCCUAACAUGCCAAGAGCAGCUUUUAGUGCUGGUCUGACAGGAGGGAUUAGUACAUCUAUAGCAGUAUUUUGUCACGAGCUGCCCCAUGAAUUAGGUACUGGAAGGCUGCAACGAGGUCUCCCCGAGGCCUUC